AACGCACAUUGCGCCCCUUGGUAUUCCGAGGGGCAUGCCUGUUCGAGCGUCAUUAUAACCACUCAAGCCUCGGCUUGGUAUUGGGGUUCGCGGUCUCGCGGCCCUUAAAACUAGUGGCGGUGCCAUCUGGCUCUAAGCGUAGUAAUUCUCUCGCUACAGGGCCUAGGUGGUUACUUGCCAAAACCCCCCUAUUUUCUAUGGUUGACCUCGGAUCAGGUAGGGAUACCCGCUGAACUUAA
Molecule: unclassified non-coding RNA, 239 nt
Filed under: uncultured fungus
Lineage: Eukaryota; Fungi
Description: sequence contains ITS2
Rfam family: 5.8S ribosomal RNA (bases 1-52)
Source: RNAcentral